AUACGUAGGGGGCGAGCGUUGUCCGGAAUGAUUGGGCGUAAAGGGCGCGUAGGCGGCGCGGUAAGUCUGGAGUGAAAGUCCUGCUUUCAAGAUGGGAAUUGCUUUGGAUACUGUCGGGCUUGAGUGCAGGUGAGGUAAGUGGAAUUCCCAGUGUAGCGGUGAAAUGCGUAGAGAUUGGGAGGAACACCAGUGGCGAAGGCGACUUACUGGACUGUAACUGACGCUGAGGCGCGAAAGUGUGGGGAGCAAACAGGAUUAGAUACCCUGGUAGUCCACACUGUAAACGAUGAAUGCUAGGUGUAGGGGGUAUCGACCCCUUCUGUGCCGCAGUCAACACAAUAAGCAUUCCGCCUGGGGAGUACGGCCGCAAGGUUGAAACUCAAAGGAAUUGACGGGG
This 397-nucleotide ribosomal RNA is filed under the name uncultured bacterium. RNAcentral's name for it is "partial 16S ribosomal RNA". It matches the Rfam family "Bacterial small subunit ribosomal RNA", at positions 523 to 918 of the family's 1533-position model. The record is from RNAcentral.